GAUGAACGCUGGCGGCGUGCCUAAUACAUGCAAGUCGAGCGAACAGACGAGGAUCUUGCUCCUCUGACGUUAGCGGCGGACAGGUGAGUAACAUGUGGAUAACCAACCUAUAAGACUGGGAUAACUUCGAGAAACCGGAGCUAGUACCGGAUAAUAUAUUGAACCGCAGGGUUCGAUAGUGAAAGACGGUUUUGCUGUCACUUAUAGAUGGAUCCGCGCCGCAUUAGCUAGUUGGUUAGGUAACGGCUUACCAAGGCAACGAUGCGUAGCCGACCUGGGAGAGUGAUCGGCGACACUGGAACUGGGACACGGUCCAGACUCCUACGGGAGGCAGCAGUAGGGAAUCUUCCGCAAUGGGCGAAAGCCUGACGGAGCAACGCCGCGUGAGUGAUGAAGGUCUUCGGGUCGUAAAACUCUGUUAUUAGGGAAGAACAAAUGUUUAAGUAACUAUGCACGUCUUGACGGUACCUAAUCAGAAAGCCACGGCUAACUACGUG
This 497-nucleotide ribosomal RNA is filed under the name uncultured bacterium. Its description in RNAcentral is "partial 16S ribosomal RNA". It matches the Rfam family "Bacterial small subunit ribosomal RNA", at positions 28 to 507 of the family's 1533-position model. The record is from RNAcentral.